This 502-nucleotide ribosomal RNA is filed under the name uncultured bacterium. RNAcentral describes it as "partial 16S ribosomal RNA". It matches the Rfam family "Bacterial small subunit ribosomal RNA", at positions 28 to 507 of the family's 1533-position model. The record is from RNAcentral.
GAUGAACGCUGGCGGCGUGCCUAACACAUGCAAGUCGAGCGGCAGCGCGAUUUACACUGACCUCUGGAAGCUGCGAGUGGCGAGAGAAGAAUUAUUGAAGAAUUUUGUUUAAAAUGUCGGCGAGCGGCGGACGGCUGAGUAACGCGUGGGAACGUACCCCGAAGCGGGGGAUACCGCAUCGAAAGGUGUGUUAGUACCGCCUAUGGUCUGCGGAUUAAAGCCUUCGGGCGCUUGGGGAACGGCCUGCGUAAGAUUAGAGAGUUGGUGGGGUAAUGGCCUACCGAGUCGACGAUCCUUCACUGGGGAGAGAAGACGCGCAGUCAGACUGGACGUGAGACACGGUCCAGACUCCUACGGGAGGGAGCAGUGAGGAGUCGUACACACUGGGCGAAAGCCUGAUGGAGCAACGCCGCGUGAAGGAUGAAGGCCUUCGGGUUGUAAACUGCUUUUAUAAGUGAGGAGUAUGACAGUAACUUAUGAAUAAGGAUCGGCUAACUACGUG